Molecule: ribosomal RNA, 253 nt
Filed under: uncultured bacterium
Lineage: Bacteria
Description: partial 16S ribosomal RNA
Rfam family: Bacterial small subunit ribosomal RNA
Source: RNAcentral
GACGAACCGUGCGAACGUUGUUCGGAUUCACUGGGCUUAAAGGGCGCGUAGGCGGAUUCGUAAGUUCGGGGUGAAAUCCUUCGGCUCAACCGGAGAAGUGCCUCGGAUACUGCGAGUCUUGAGGGAGGUAGGGGCCGCGGGAACUUCCGGUGGAGCGGUGAAAUGCGUUGAUAUCGGAAGGAACGCCGGUGGCGAAAGCGCGCGGCUGGUCCUCUUCUGACGCUGAGGCGCGAAAGCUAGGGGAGCAAACGGG